CCUAGCUCCCUUCUUCCCGACAGCCUUCGCGCGGGGCCUGACGCUCCGCUCCGCAAGAUGGCGGCGGACAGUGAGCCCGAGUCCGAAGUGUUUGAGAUCACAGACUUCACCACAGCCUCGGAGUGGGAGAGGUUUAUUUCCAAAGUUGAAGAAGUCUUGAAUGACUGGAAACUGAUUGGACCCUCUCUGGGAAAGCCACUGGAAAAGGGUAUAUUUACUUCUGGCACAUGGGAAGAGCGAUCAGAUGAAAUUUCCUUUGCUGACUUCAGGUUUUCAGUCACACAUCACUAUCUUGUACAAGAGUCUCCUGAUAAAGAAAGAAAGGAUGAAGAAUUGGAGGACGCUAUUCCACAGUCAAUGCAAGAUUUGCUAUGUAUGAAUAACGACUUUCCUCCAAGAGCACAUUGCCUGGUAAGAUGGUAUGGCCUGCGUGAGUUUGUGGUGAUUGCUCCUGCUGCACACAGUGAUGCAGUUCUCAGUGAAUCCAAGUGUAACCUCCUCCUUAGUUCCAUUUCUAUUGCUUUGGGAAACACUGGCUGCCAGGUACCACUGUUUGUCCAAAUACAUCACAAAUGGCGACGAAUGUACAUGGGAGAAUGUCAAGGUCCUGGUGUUCGUACUGACUUUGAAAUGGUUCAUCUUCGAAAAGUGCCAAGUCAGUACACUCAUUUGUCAGGCCUGCUGGACAUCUUCAAAUCCAAAAUUGGCUGUCCUUUAACUCCAUUGCCUCCAGUUAGCAUUGCGAUUCGGCUCACAUACGUGCUUCAGGAUUGGCAGCAAUACUUUUGGCCUCAGCAGCCUCCAGAUAUAGAUGCCCUUGUGGGAGGAGAAGUUGGGGGCCUGGAGUUCGGCAAGUUGCCAUUUGGUGCCUGUGAAGAUCCUAUCAGUGAACUCCAUUUAGCAACAACGUGGCCUCAUUUGACAGAAGGGAUCAUUGUAGAUAAUGAUGUUUAUUCUGAUUUGGAUCCUGUUCAAGCUCCCCAUUGGUCGGUUAGAGUUCGGAAAGCUGAUAAUCCCCAGUGCUUACUAGGUGAUUUUGUUACUGAAUUUUUAAAAAUUUGCCGUCGAAAGGAAUCAACGGAUGAAAUUCUUGGACGAUCCACAUUUGAAGAAGAGGGAAGAGAAGUUGCUGAUAUAACUCAUGCUUUGUCAAAGCUGACUGAGCCAGCGCCAGUUCCAAUUCAUAAAUUAUCAGUUUCAAAUAUGGUACACACUGCAAAGAAGAAGAUACGGAAGCACAGAGGGGAAGAGUCGCCGCUGAACAGUGAUGUUCUCAAUACUAUUCUCUUGUUCUUGUUCCCAGAUGCUGUCUCUGAGAAGCCGUUAGAUGGAACUACUUCAAUAGACAAUAGCAUUCCUGCACCAGAGGCUGGAGACUAUACUCUCUACAAUCAGUUCAAGUCUGCGCCUUCCGACAGUCUAACAUACAAACUGGCCUUGUGUCUUUGUAUGAUCAACUUCUACCAUGGAGGGCUGAAGGGAGUGGCACAUCUCUGGCAGGAAUUUGUUCUUGAAAUGCGUUUCAGAUGGGAAAACAACUUUCUGAUUCCAGGACUAGCAAGUGGAUCACCAGAUCUAAGAUGCUGCUUACUGCAUCAGAAACUACAGAUGUUAAAUUGUUGUAUUGAAAGGAAGAAAGCACGUGAUGAAGGGAAAAAGACGAGCCUCUCGGAUAGUACGACUAGUGCAUAUCCAGGGGAUGCUGGGAAAACUGGAGGCCAGCUGGGCCUGGACCAUCUCAGAGAUACAGAGAAGGAAAAGGGAGAAGUAGGGAAGUCCUGGGAUUCCUGGAGUGAUAGUGAAGAAGAGUUUUUUGAAUGCCUCAGUGAUACGGAAGACCUUAAAGGAAACGGACAGGAGAGUGGUAAGAAAGGCGGUCCCAAGGAGAUGGCAAACUUAAAGCCAGAAGGCCGCCUGCACCAGCACGGGAAACUUACCCUGCUGCAUAAUGGAGAGCCUCUCUACAUUCCAGUGACCCAGGAACCAGCACCCAUGACAGAAGAUCUGCUGGAAGAGCAGUCUGAGGUCUUAGCAAAAUUAGGGACAUCUGCUGAGGGGGCGCACCUCCGCGCACGCAUGCAGAGUGCCUGUCUCCUCUCCGAUAUGGAGUCUUUUAAGGCAGCUAAUCCAGGCUGCUUUCUGGAAGAUUUCGUGAGGUGGUACUCACCAAGGGACUACAUUGAGGAGGAGGUGACUGACGAGAAGGGCAAUGUGGUCCUGAAGGGGGAGCUGAGUGCCCGUAUGAAGAUCCCCAGCAACAUGUGGGUAGAAGCCUGGGAGACUGCUAAGCCUGUGCCAGCACGACGUCAGAGGAGACUGUUUGAUGACACCCGAGAGGCUGAAAAGGUCCUGCACUACCUGGCCAUGCAGAAGCCUGCAGACCUAGCCAGGCACCUCCUGCCUUGUGUGAUUCAUGCAGCUGUUCUCAAGAAAGUCUGGAAAACAUUCCUUCUGUUAAGAAGAUUAUAAAGCAGAUCAUAGCCCAUUCCAGCAAAGUUCUGCAUUUCCCCAAUCCUGAGGACAAGAAACUGGAAGAAAUCAUCCUUCAGAUUACUACUGUGGAAGCUAUAAUAGCCCGAGCCCGGUCCCUGAAGGCCAAAUUUGGAACUGAGAAGUGUGAGCACGAGGAGGAAAAGGAAGGUCUGGAAAGGUUUGUCAGCUGCCUGCUGGAGCAGCCUGAGGUAUCAGUCACUGGGGCAGGAAGAGGACAUGCUGGCCGCAUCAUCCACAAGCUGUUUGUGAAUGCUCAGCGGGCUGCGGCAGUGGCUCUGCCAGAGGAGGAGCUUAAGAAAUCAGGCUGCCCAGAGGAGAGAAGACAGACCUUGGUGUCAGACUUCCCACCACCUGCAGGCCGGGAGCUGAUCCUGAGGGCCACUGUGCCGCGGCCUGCUCCCUACUCCAAGGCCCUGCCACAGCGUAUGUACAGCGUACUCACCAAGGAGGACUUCAGACUCGCGGGUGCCUUUUCCUCAGACACCUCCUUUUUCUAGGGGGAGGAGGAGGAGCGGCAGCUCCUGCCGUGGGCACCUGAGACGCCCUUGUGGAACCAGCAGCAGGAGUCACACCAGCAUCCAGAAGCAUGUCCAGUACCAAGCUUGAGCCAGAUGGAUAGAUUUGAGGUGUCAGAGACUUCCACCUGGGGGGAGGUGGCCUGUGUUAGGGGAACCUCACAUCAGCAGGCCUCUUACCUUGGGGGACAGAGUUUGUUCAUUCUCCUGUGACAGUCAUCUGUGUAGACACUUAGUAGCUAUCCUUACUAGUAUUCCAUAUGCAAGGUAGAGUAUCCGUUAACUCACAUUCUGGACACUUGCUGGUAGAGCCUUUAGUCCCAGGAUCUGUGUUUUUAAACUGCCACGUAGCAUUCUGUUUAUUCAGUCACCAGAUGGAUGGUCAGCUUUAUUAUGCUGUUUCAUGAGCAUUUGAAUAUUCUAGGAGAAAGACUAGAAUUUCAAUUUUUUCCAUGCCACUAACCAAAUGCAUUUCUUCUGAUAAAUCUGUACAUGAAAUGUAGCUGCAGAUUAGAGCUCUCUCUGUGUGUCUGUCUGUGUGUCUGUCUGUCUGGUAGGAUCUCUCGGUCCUCUUGGUUGCACCCCUGCUUUGCACUUUACUUCUCUGCGUUGCUGGUUAGGGAUGGUAUUUAAUGACAUCAUACGAGCACAUGUUGAACACACAUCCUGGGAACAUAGAUCACCAUGCAGUUAGUGAGCUGUGGUGUGUGUGCCGAGGCUGUGAGUGGGCUGAAGCACCCGGUGCAGGGGUGAUGGCUCUGUCCUCUGCAGCUCAGAAUGCAUCAGUACGCUGCUGCGGGACCUCUCCUUGGUGAUUGUAAAUUAUUUUGGGACCUAAAAUUCCCACUUGAAUCCAAAGUAAAAAAUGGUUAUGGUGAAGUGUAAAUUCCGCCUGUGUGAUUUUUAAAAAUUAAUAGACCUACACAAGCCCUGUGUUAUUUUUGUAAAAGAAAAAAAAGAGUAUAUAUAUAUAUAUUUAUCUGUAUGGUGUGCACAGACACGUGUCUGUUUGGGUAUAUGAGGGCCAGGGGCCAACCCCUAGACUUCCCAGCGAGCACUCUUUCCUCUGAAAUGCUGGACUUUGCUUCUUAGAAACCCAUAGAUACGGGCUGAGGCAUGAGGGGCCAGAACAAAUACAAGACAGGACAGUGUUUGCUUUCCUGGGUAUUGAUGACAGAACUCUACAGUGUGGGGUUGGUCUAAAAUGGCAUUGUUUAUCUAAUAAAACGGACUGCUGUUUAUGUGUG
Mus musculus (house mouse) is the source of this 4255-nucleotide RNA transcript. It is a transcript of the gene named RAB3 GTPase activating protein subunit 1, with no coding region annotated. The transcript has 24 exons. NCBI's taxonomy places the organism in Eukaryota, Metazoa, Chordata, Mammalia, Rodentia, Muridae. The record is from RefSeq and is marked validated.